This 301-nucleotide ribosomal RNA is filed under the name uncultured bacterium. Its description in RNAcentral is "partial 16S ribosomal RNA". It matches the Rfam family "Bacterial small subunit ribosomal RNA", at positions 509 to 807 of the family's 1533-position model. The record is from RNAcentral.
CAGCCGCCGCGGGAAUACGAAGGGUGCAAGCGUUAAUCGGAAUUACUGGGCGUAAAGCGUGCGUAGGCGGUGAGUUAAGUCUGCUGUGAAAUCCCCGGGCUCAACCUGGGAAUGGCAGUGGAUACUGGCUCGCUAGAGUGUGUCAGAGGAUGGUGGAAUUCCCGGUGUAGCGGUGAAAUGCGUAGAGAUCGGGAGGAACAUCAGUGGCGAAGGCGGCCAUCUGGGACAACACUGACGCUGAGGCACGAAAGCGUGGGGAGCAAACAGGAUUAGAUACCCCUGUAGUCCCUGUCUCUUAUAC